AGUUUGAUUAUGGCUCAGAUUGAACGCUGGCGGGGAUGCUUUACACAUGCAAGUCGAACGGCAGCACGGACUUCGGUCUGGUGGCGAGUGGCGAACGGGUGAGUAAUGUAUCGGAACGUGCCUAGUAGCGGGGGAUAACUACGCGAAAGCGUAGCCAAUACCGCAUACGCCUUCGGGGGAAAGCGGGGGACCUUCGGGCCCUGCACUAUUAGAGCGGCCGAUAUCGGAUUAGCUAGUUGGUGGGGUAACGGCUCACCAAGGGCGACGAUCCGUAGCUGAAUGCAGAUAUCGACCAGCCACACUGGGACUGAGACACGGCCCAGACUCUACGGAGGGCAGGGGAAUUUUGGACAAAUGGGGGAAACCCUGAUCCAGCCAUCCCGCGUGUGCGAUGAAGGCCUUCGGGUUGCAAAGCACUUUUGGCAGGAAAGAAACGGCAUCGAUAGCACCCCGUGCAACUGACGGUACCUGCAGAAUAAGCACCGGCUAACCACGUGCCACAGCAGCCGCGGCAAUACGUAGGGUGCAAGCGUAAUCGCACCAUUGGGCGUAAAAGCGUGCGCAGGCGGUUCGGAAAGAAAGACAGGAAAUCCCAGAGCUUAACUUGGAACUGCAUUUUUAACUACCGAGCUAGAGGUGUCAGAGGGAGGUGGAAUUCCGCGUGUAGCAGUGAAAUGCGUAGAUAUGCGGAGGAACACCGAUGGCGAAGGCAGCCUCCUGGGAUAACACUGACGCUCAUGCACGAAAGCGGGAUACAAACAGAUGAUACCCCAGAACUAACGCCCCAAACGAUGUCAACUAGCUGUUGGGGCCUUCGGGCUCCGGUAGCGCAGCUAACGCGUGAAGCGACCGCCUCAGAGCACAUCGCAAGAUUAAAACUCAAAGGAAUUGACGGGGACCGCACAAGCGGUAUUGAUGGAUUAAUUCGAUGCAAACGCUGAAAACCACUCACCCUUGACAUGUCUGGAAUCCAAGAGAUUUGGGAGUGCUCGCAAGAAAGAACCGGGAACAGCAGGUGCCGCAUGGCUGUCGCCACCGUGUCGUGAGGUAUGUUGGCGGUUCCGCCACCGGAGCGCAACCUCGUCAUUAGUUGCCGCUGAAAGGGCACCUGACGAGAUCGCCGGGUGACAAACCGGAGGGCGUGGGGAUGACGUCGUCCUGUAUCUUGCGGGCAGGUCACACGCCAUACAAUGGCCGGGACAGGUCGCUAACCCGCGAGGGGGAGCCAAUCCCAGAACCGAUCAAACCGGACUGCAGUCGCAACUCGACCGGAGCCGGAAUCGCUAAAACGCGAUCAGCAUGUCGCGGUGAAUACGUUCCCGGGGUCUUGUACACACUGCCCGUCACACCAUGGGGAGUGGGUUUUACCAGACAGUUAGCUCAACUAUGAGGGCGAUUACCACGGUGGGAUUCAUGACUGGGGCGAAGUCGUACAA
This 1436-nucleotide ribosomal RNA is filed under the name uncultured Bordetella sp. RNAcentral's name for it is "partial 16S-23S ribosomal RNA intergenic spacer". It matches the Rfam family "Bacterial small subunit ribosomal RNA". The record is from RNAcentral. Lineage: Bacteria; Pseudomonadati; Pseudomonadota; Betaproteobacteria; Burkholderiales; Alcaligenaceae.